UACGUAUGUCGCAAGCGUUAUCCGGAUUUAUUGGGCGUAAAGUGCGUCUAGGCGGUUUAGUAAGUCUGAUGUGAAAAUGCGGGGCUCAACCCCGAAUUGCGUUUGAAACUGCUAAACUUGAGUACUGGAGAGGUAGGCGGAACUACAAGUGUAGAGGUGAAAUUCGUAGAUAUUUGUAGGAACACCGAUGGCGAAGGCAGCCUACUGGACAGAUACUGACGCUAAGGUGCGAAAGCGUGGGUAGCAAACAGG
RNAcentral lists this ribosomal RNA (252 nucleotides) under uncultured bacterium. Its description in RNAcentral is "partial 16S ribosomal RNA". It matches the Rfam family "Bacterial small subunit ribosomal RNA", at positions 524 to 776 of the family's 1533-position model. The record is from RNAcentral.